CAGCCGCCGCGGGAAUACGAAGGGGGCUAGCGUUGCUCGGAAUUACUGGGCGUAAAGGGCGCGUAGGCGGCGCUCCAAGUUAGGCGUGAAAUUCCCGGGCUCAACCUGGGGACUGCGCUUAAGACUGGAGUGCUUGAGGAUGGAAGAGGGUUGUGGAAUUCCCAGUGUAGAGGUGAAAUUCGUAGAUAUUGGGAAGAACACCGGUGGCGAAGGCGGCAACCUGGUCCAUUACUGACGCUGAGGCGCGAUAGCGUGGGGAGCAAACAGGAUUAGAUACCCCCGUAGUCCCUGUCUCUUAUAC
This 301-nucleotide ribosomal RNA is filed under the name uncultured bacterium. Its description in RNAcentral is "partial 16S ribosomal RNA". It matches the Rfam family "Bacterial small subunit ribosomal RNA", at positions 509 to 807 of the family's 1533-position model. The record is from RNAcentral.